CUUUCUUCUGAAUAUGAGAUGCUGUAUGCUUCCAUCCACCUGCAGCACUGUGCCGCAGGUUACCAUCUGUUUAUGACAACACAAAUCCAAUAUGUCAUAAACAUGUUCUGGCCUUUACAGUUUUCCCAGCCUGAGGUUGCAGUCUUCAUCUUGGGAUAA
RNAcentral lists this long non-coding RNA (159 nucleotides) under Numida meleagris (helmeted guineafowl). Its description in RNAcentral is "lncRNA (ENSNMEG00000019192.1)". Lineage: Eukaryota; Metazoa; Chordata; Aves; Galliformes; Numididae. The record is from RNAcentral.